CUCCUGCCUCAGCCUCCCAGAGUGCUAGCAUUACAGGUGUGAGCCACCACACCCGGCUCUGCCAACUCUAGAUGUCUAUCACCAGAGAGAAGCUCCAAGCCUAGCAUCACUCGGGGCACUGAUGGACACACAAGGAGAAACGUGUUCUAUGAGUCAAAAGUGUGUCAUUUCACAAGAUCAGGAAAAUGGGCUCCACAUGUACUCGCCAUCAAAUUGGUGUGAAAAGGAGCCGAUGUUAGCAACACAGGAUAAAUAUCAGAUGGUCGAAGGACACAGGAGACAGAUCAGAAGAUGAAGGCGCAGAGAGGGGAAGUGAUAUGUCCCAGGUCACAUAACUAACACGUGAUACAGUCAGAAUUCCAGCCCAGGCCAUCUGACGACAUCUGUGUGGUUUCCAUGAUUCUUAUUUUACCAGUGGAGAGGGACAGAGGGGUCAUGUGACUUGCUCAGGAACAUGAAGUUUGUCAGUGAUGUCAUGGGAUUAAUAACCAGGGUCUUGCAGAUGCCCUAUUCUGGCCUCUUUCUGCAAGACUGCUGCUUCUAGAUCAUGUUAAGACAGAUUCUGAAAAGGGAGGGCUUGGAUUAAUUAAUAGCACUGAAUAGAAGGCAAGCUGUGAUCCCCAAGGAAUUCUAUACUAUCAUAUAAGUUUGUGGCAUGAGUGGUCAGGAGGCUGAGCCUCUCAGAGUUCUGCAGUGAUACCGGUGUUAGCUGCCAUCCAUGGCUCCCAGGACAGGUCUCGAGGCCCCACUUGAAUCUGGGCUCUGUUUGGGGGUUGGAUGCCACGCUGACCACCCAGCACUAGUUCUGAUGCUGUUUGCCAGUGUACUGGUGACAUGGCUUGAGGCUGCUAAAUUCACUGUAGGCUUCCAGGCUCCCUGGAACAUCUCCCAUCCAUUCAGUGUGCAAAGGCUGGGUGCAGGCCUCCAGAUUGCCAUGGACAAGGUCAACUCCGAGCCAGCGGACUUUGGAAACCUCAGCCUGGAGUUCACUUACACCAACUCAGCCUGCAGCACCAAGGAGUACCUUGCUAUUUUUAUCAACCAGGUCCAGAGAGAACAGAUUUCUGCCCUGUUUGGACCGGCAUGCCCAGAAGUAGCAGAGGUUAUUGGUUUGUUGGCCUCUGAGUGGAACAUCCCCAUGUUUGACUUCGUUGGACAAAUGGCAAAGCUGGAAAACCACAUCCUGUAUGACACCUGUGUGAAACUUGUGCCACCCACGAAGGACAUCGGUCAUGUACUCCGGAAAAGUCUCCAGUACCUGGGCUGGAAACACAUUGGGAUGUUUGGAGGCUACUCUGGGACUUCCUCCUGGGAUGGAGUAGAUACAUUGUGGGGGGUCGCAGAGCAUGAACUCAAAUCCCAUUUCACUCUCACUGCCAGCAUGAGAUACACCAGCAACAGUCCAGUUCUCCUUCAAGAGAAUCUUAGGAGUGUGUCAUCAACUGCCAGGGUUAUCAUCUUAAUCUGCAGCUCAGAGGAUGCAAAAAUUAUUCUGCUGGCUGCAGAGAACCUGGGACUCAACACCGGAGAUUUUGUCUUCAUCAUCCUGCAGCAUUUGGAGGACAGUUUUUGGAAGGAGGCAUUGACAAAUCAGAAGAUGACCCACUUCCCGAAAGUCUAUACGUCAGUGCUUCUCAUCGCCCUGAGCUCCUACGGAGAAGGGCGAGAGGGCUUCCGGGAACAAGUGUACCAGAGGCUGAGGGGGCCGCCCUUCCGCAGCACGAUCUCCUCGGAGGAGCAGGUGAGCCCGUAUUCUGCCUACCUCCACGACGCCAUCCUGCUCUACGCUCAGACAGUGCAGCGGGUGGCACAGGCCGGCGGGGACGUCCUGGAUGGGCGGCAGCUGGUCAGCAGCCUACAAGGUUCCAAUCGGACUGUGAUGCGGGGAAUCACCGGCCCUGUGGUUUUGGACUCCCAGGGGGAACGGCACAUGGAUUACUCGGUUUAUGCUCUACAGAAAGCUGGGAACGGGUCCCUUUUUCUUCCUUUUCUUCACUAUGACAGUUAUCGGAAAGCAAUCAGACCCGCAGAGAAUUUCUCCACUGUUACUUGGCCCCAUGGCUCCCUUCCUGAAGACCGACCUGGCUGUGGAUUUUAUAAUGAGCUCUGCAAAGCUGAGCCUGCCGCUGGGGGUGUGACUGCUGUGACUCUCACAGUGACGCUCCUCGUUACUGCCUUGGGAGCUACCAUCGUAGGGCUGAUUUUAAGGAUGCAGAGGGGAAAACUGCAGAGGCAGGAUAAAGACAUCUGGUGGCAAAUCAAUUAUGACAACAUCACCAUUCUUCCCCAGAACAAGCCAUCCCAGAGAGACACACCUGUGUUGAGAGGGAACAAGAGUAACUCAUCUAGGGCGAUGAUUUCUGCAGACCUCAGCUCCUUUGUCAAAAGCCAGCAGGAGGAAGAGCUCUUCUAUGCCCCAGUAGGAUUUUACCAGGGAAACCACGUGGCCAUCCGCUAUGUCGGUGACCAAGCAGGAGCCUGGGUUAAGAAGCCGACUGUGCUACAGGAAAUCCGGCUGAUGUGUGAAUUAAGGCACGAGAACAUUGUUCACUUCUUUGGUAUUUGCACAGAACCACCUAACAUCUGCAUUGUCACCCAGUAUUGCAAAAAAGGAAGUCUUAAGGAUGUUUUGAGAAACUCAGACCAUGAAAUGGAUUGGAUAUUCAAACUCUCAUUUGCAUAUGACAUAGUCAAUGGCCUGCUGUUCCUCCACAGGAGCCCGCUGGGCUCCCACGGCAACCUGAAGCCUUCCAGCUGCCUGGUGGACGGCCGGAUGCAGGUGAAGCUGACAGGAUUUGGGCUGUGGGAACUCAAGUACGGCCAAACAUACAGAACAUUGGAUGAGAAAACUACUGACCCCUCAGAGCUCUACUGGACGGCCCCGGAGCUGCUGCGGCUCCCGGCGACACCGCGGUCCGGCACGGCGAAGGGAGACGUCUACAGCUUUGGGGUUCUGAUGCGGGAGCUGCUCCACCACCCCGACCUCGGGCCCUUUGACGACCGCGAUGAGGCUCCGGCUGAAAUCAUCAACCGAAUCAAAGACCCCAGGGCGUCAGUUCCACUGCGACCUUCCCUGUGUGAGGACGAAGGCAAUGGAAAGAUCCUGCUCAUGGUGAGGGCAUGCUGGGAUGAAUCUCCAGAGAAAAGGCCCACUUUCCAGUCUAUCAAGAAGACUUUGCAAGAAGCCAGCCCCAAAGGCCACGUGAGCAUACUGGACAGCAUGGUUAGCAAGCUGGAAGUGUAUGCCAACCGCCUGGAGGAAGUGGUGGCAGAGAGGACCAGCCAGCUGAUGGCAGAGAAGAGGAAGGUGGAGAACCUUCUGUCCACGAUGUUGCCCAGCUUCAUUGGAGAACAGCUUGUAGCUGGAAGAUCUGUGGAACCAGAGCAUUUUGAGUCCGUGACAAUCUUUUUCUCUGACAUCGUUGGAUUCACAAAACUGUGUUCUCUCAGCUCCCCCUUGCAAGUUGUCAAGCUCCUCAAUGACCUGUAUAGUUUGUUUGAUCACAUCAUUACAGCGUAUGAUGUGUACAAGGUCGAGACCAUUGGAGAUGCAUACAUGGUGGCCAGCGGGCUUCCCAUCCGCAAUGGAAUCCAGCAUGUGGACGAGAUUGCUACCAUGUCCCUGCACUUCCUCAGUGCCACCAUCCACUUCCAGAUUGGGCACAUGCCUGAGGAGAAGCUCAAGCUCCGGAUUGGCCUCCACACAGGUCCUGUGGUGGCUGGCGUGGUGGGCAUCACCAUGCCCAGAUACUGUCUGUUUGGGGACACUGUGAACAUGGCAUCCAGAAUGGAGAGCAGCAGUUUGCGUCUCGCAGAGCACUGCAGGCGCCCUGCUGGCACUGGGAGGGUACGAGUUGCAGAAGAGAGGCACCAUUCCAGUCAAGGGCAAAGGAGAGCAGAUGACUUUCUGGCUGAAAGGCAAGGAAGGCUUCACUAUUUCGCUCCCCGAAUUUACCGAGGAAGAGGCUCAAGUCGCGGAGAUCGUGUGAGGCACUUUGGCCGCAGCACCUCACGUGAUCCUCACACCCGUGGGGCCAAGUUGAGGAGAUAAGAGUUGGAUACGGCUGUCUCCAUUCAGCAGACAACGUCCAGCGGGAGGGGAGUGACUUAUGAGAAGCCACACAGCUGCCAAUGUGGGCCCAGGGAGGUCAGCAGAAUCGUCUUGCCUCUGACCUAGCGGGGCAGAGUUCAUGCAUGGCAAGGGUUGCAGUGGACAUAAACACCUGUCCUCUCUCCCAGUGGAAAUGUCUGACGGUGCUGGCGAGACGCUGUGAGGUGCGGCAGGGUAAGGCUGAGACUCUGCCGUCUGCCUGGAGCCCCAAGGCCACCUUGGCCGUGACCAGCUGUGUGCUCUUGGGCAGGUUACUUAGCUUCCGUGAGCCUUCGUUUCCUGCUCUCCUGAAAGGAUACGAUGAUAUCUGGGACACAGUGUUGCUCAGAACAUUAAAUGAGACAUAUGUCUGUUAGCGUAGACGUGGCUCAUUUUCCUUGGUCAAGAAAGCCUUUUGUUUCUAUGCUUAGUUCUACUUGGGGACUCCAAAGAGGGGAGCCUCUUAGGAGGGGGUCACCACCAGAUAGCACCCAUUAUUGCCAUCAGUGCUAGACUACAUCAUAUGUAACUAAGAGCACAGGCUCUGGGGGAAUUAGAGGUCGUGGCUCUGCCACAUUUCCAAUUGUGUGAUCUUGGGCAAGUGGCUUGACCUUUCUAAGCCUCUAAUGUCCAAAUCUGUGAAAGGGGCUUCCCACCACCUAUAGCUGUUAUGAGGAUAUAAUAAAAUGAUGCAUGUCAAUUGCUUAGCACAGCGUCUUGCACACAGCAGGCAUUCAGAAGCGCUGCUGUAAGUGUGUUCAUCUGGGAUUUGUAUUCUCAGGUUGGAAAGGCAUGUCAAUAGUGUUCUCACAUGAACUCUGGGUGUUUUCUAAUGGUAAUAUUUCUCUCUUUAGAAGCCCACUUUAAUAAAAGAGCAGGCGUUUUUGAUUUCUAGAAAAGUCUGAUAACGAUAAGAUCCUGGGACAGAGAAAGAGAUCUCUCCUACAAUUUCUUGGAGCGGGGAUCCAGCUAACAAUGAGGUACAUGAUACUCCUUUCAAGGGGCAGCUGAAUGGAGU
Non-coding RNA from Microcebus murinus (gray mouse lemur), 5108 nucleotides. The record is from RefSeq and is a predicted model, not a curated record. NCBI's taxonomy places the organism in Eukaryota, Metazoa, Chordata, Mammalia, Primates, Cheirogaleidae.